This 253-nucleotide ribosomal RNA is filed under the name uncultured bacterium. RNAcentral describes it as "partial 16S ribosomal RNA". It matches the Rfam family "Bacterial small subunit ribosomal RNA", at positions 524 to 776 of the family's 1533-position model. The record is from RNAcentral.
GACGUAGGGCGCGAGCGUUGUCCGGAUUUAUUGGGCGUAAAGAGCUCGUAGGCGGUUUGUCGCGUCGUUCGUGAAAACUCACAGCUUAACUGUGAGCUUGCGGUCGAUACGGGCAGACUGGAGUGCGGUAGGGGAGAAUGGAAUUCCUGGUGUAGCGGUGGAAUGCGCAGAUAUCAGGAGGAACACCGAUGGCGAAGGCAGUUCUCUGGGCCGUAACUGACGCUGAGGAGCGAAAGCGUGGGGAGCGAACAGG